RNAcentral lists this ribosomal RNA (252 nucleotides) under uncultured Rubellimicrobium sp. RNAcentral's name for it is "partial 16S ribosomal RNA". It matches the Rfam family "Bacterial small subunit ribosomal RNA", at positions 525 to 776 of the family's 1533-position model. Lineage: Bacteria; Pseudomonadati; Pseudomonadota; Alphaproteobacteria; Rhodobacterales; Roseobacteraceae. The record is from RNAcentral.
ACGGAGGGGGCUAGCGUUGUUCGGAAUGACUGGGCGUAAAGCGCGCGUAGGCGGAUCGGAAAGUUGGGGGUGAAAUCCCGGGGCUCAACCCCGGAAUGGCCUUCAAGACUCCCGGUCUUGAGUUCGAGAGAGGUGAGUGGAAUUCCGAGUGUAGAGGUGAAAUUCGUAGAUAUUCGGAGGAACACCAGUGGCGAAGGCGGCUCACUGGCUCGACACUGACGCUGAGGUGCGAAAGCGUGGGGAGCAAACAGG